RNAcentral lists this ribosomal RNA (323 nucleotides) under uncultured Chloroflexota bacterium. RNAcentral describes it as "bacterial SSU rRNA". It matches the Rfam family "Bacterial small subunit ribosomal RNA", at positions 28 to 351 of the family's 1533-position model. Lineage: Bacteria; Bacillati; Chloroflexota. The record is from RNAcentral.
GAUGAACGCUGGCGGCGUGCUUAAUACAUGCAAGUCGAACGGAGACAGUAGCAAUAUUGUCUUAGUGGCGAACGGGUGAGUAACGCGUUGGUGACCUGCCCCGAAGAGGGGGAUAACAGUCCGAAAGGAUUGCUAAUACCCCAUGUGGUCAUUUGGAUUAGAUGCCUUAUGACUAAACGGAUUUAUUCGCUUCGGGAGGGGCCUGCGUCCCAUCAGCUAGUUGGUAAGGUAAUGGCUUACCAAGGCGAUGACGGGUAGGGGACCUGAGAGGGUGGCCCCCCACACUGGCACUGCGACACGGGCCAGACUCCUACGGGAGGCUG